GAAGCAACCAGACACUUCAUUCAUCUUCUCAGAAUGUUCAUUAACAUGUUCAGAAAGGUGGAAAACCUUACUUGCUAAAGAGAAGGAAAUUGGAGGCAUGGCCAAAAGUAUUCAAGGCCCUUUAUGAAAAAGAAAUGAAAACUGAUAUCCCUCCUAAAAGAGAAGUAAAACAGAAAUUCAGAGAUUCUAAUGCACCCGAAAGGCCUCCUUUGGGCUUUCACUUUGUGUUCUGAGUACUGCCCUCAAAUCAAAGGAGAUCCCGGUCUGUCCACUGGCAGUGAUGCCAAGAACCUGGGAGGGACAUGAGUGACCAUGCUGCAGAUGGCAAGCAGCCCAAAAAGAAGGCUUCUCAACUGAAGGAAAAGUACCAAGAGCAGAAUGCUGCAUAUCCAGCCAAAGGAAAGCUGAUGUGGCAAAAAUGAUGCUGUCAAGGCCGAAAAAGGCAAGAAAAAAAAACAAAGCGGAGAAAGACAGAGAAGGUAAGGAAAAUAAAAAAUGAAGUCGAUGAUAAUGACAAAUAA
Molecule: long non-coding RNA, 521 nt
Filed under: Homo sapiens (human)
Lineage: Eukaryota; Metazoa; Chordata; Mammalia; Primates; Hominidae
Description: non-protein coding lnc-PARP1-2:1
Source: RNAcentral